AGCAGCCGCGGUAAUUCCAGCUCCAAUGGCGUAUAUUAAAGUUGUUGCAGUUAAAAAGCUCGUAGUUGAAUUUCGGGAUUGACACAUCGGUCGUGCCUUAAGGGGUGUGAACUGGUGUAGUCAAUUUCUCACCUUCUGGAGAACCGCGAUGUCCUUAAUUGGGUGCCGCGAGGAACCAGGACCUUUACUUUGAAAAAUUAGAGUGUUUAAAGCAGGCAUUUUUGCUUGAAUACAUUAGCAUGGAAUAAUAAAAUAGGACGGCAUGAUUCUAUUUUGUUGGUUUCUAGGAUCACCGUAAUGAUUAAUAGGGAUAGUUGGGGGCAUUAGUAUUCAAUUGUCAGAGGUGAAAUUCUUGGAUUUAUUGAAGACUAACUACUGCGAAAGCAUUUGCCAAGGAUGUUUUCAUUUAAUCAAGAAACGAAAGUUAGGGGAUCGAAGACGAUCAGAUACCGUCGUAGUCUUAACCAUAAACUAAUGCCGUACUAGGAAUCAGACGA
Molecule: ribosomal RNA, 497 nt
Filed under: uncultured Entrophospora
Lineage: Eukaryota; Fungi; Glomeromycota; Glomeromycetes; Entrophosporales; Entrophosporaceae
Description: SSU rRNA
Rfam family: Eukaryotic small subunit ribosomal RNA
Source: RNAcentral